UGAGGAAUAUUGGUCAAUGGGCGAGAGCCUGAACCAGCCAAGUCGCGUGAAGGAAGACAGUCCUAAGGAUUGUAAACUUCUUUUAUACGGGAAUAACGGGCGAUACGAGUAUUGCAUUGAAUGUACCGUAAGAAUAAGCAUCAGCUAACUCCGUGCCAGCAGCCGCGGUAAUACGGAGGAUGCGAGCGUUAUCCGGAUUUAUUGGGUUUAAAGGGUGCGUAGGUUGUUCGGUAAGUCAGCGGUGAAACCUGAGCGCUCAACGUUCAGCCUGCCGUUGAAACUGCCGGGCUUGAGUUCAGUGGCGGCAGGCGGAAUUCGUGGUGUAGCGGUGAAAUGCAUAGAUAUCACGAAGAACUCCUAUUGCGAAGGCAGCUUGCUGGAGUGUAACUGACGCUGAUGCUCGAAAGUGUGGGUAUCAAACAGGAUUAGAUACCCUGGUAGUCCACACAGUAAACGAUGAAUACUCGCUGUUUGCGAUAUACUGCAAGCGGCCAAGCGAAAGCGUUAAGUAUUCCACCUGGGGAGUACGCCGGCAACGGUG
Molecule: ribosomal RNA, 541 nt
Filed under: uncultured bacterium
Lineage: Bacteria
Description: bacterial SSU rRNA
Rfam family: Bacterial small subunit ribosomal RNA
Source: RNAcentral